This 458-nucleotide ribosomal RNA is filed under the name uncultured bacterium. RNAcentral describes it as "bacterial SSU rRNA". It matches the Rfam family "Bacterial small subunit ribosomal RNA", at positions 8 to 452 of the family's 1533-position model. The record is from RNAcentral.
AGAGUUUGAUCCUGGCUCAGGACGAACGCUGGCGGCGUGCCUAACACAUGCUAGUCGAGCGAGGACGGGUCUUCGGACUCGAGCCGAGCGGCGGACGGGUGAGUAACACGUGAGCAACCUGCCCCUGUGCGGGGGAUAACCCGGGGAAACUCGGGCUAAUACCGCAUGGUCGGCCCUGCCGCAUGGUGGGGCUGGGAAAGGCGGCCUCUCAUGGAAGCUGCCGUGCAGGGAGGGGCUCGCGGCCUAUCAGCUGGUUGGUGGGGUAACGGCCUACCAAGGCGACGACGGGUAGCGGGUCUGAGAGGACGACCCGCCACAUUGGGACUGAGACACGGCCCAGACUCCUACGGGAGGCAGCAGUGGGGAAUAUUGCACAAUGGGGGAAACCCUGAUGCAGCGACGCCGCGUGAGUGAAGAAGUACUUCGGUACAUAAAGCUCUAUCAGCAGGGAAGAAGAU